UUAAAAUAUAUAUAGAUUAUAAAUGAAAGAAAUCUAUUCAAUUUAAGCUUGAAUAUUAGACAAUAUUAAGAGAAUAUUCAAAAUGACAUUUUAUACAUAAAUACAUGCAUACAGUGUUUCCGCUACAUUCAUCCUGCCAUGAAAAUAAUCCCCCGCCACAGCCGCAGCUUCUCAGUCACAUCAUUCACAAUCGGGUAAUAAUUUACAGCAGAGUCACAGCCACACACUGGAAAAUAUUUGGGCUGCACUGACGCGUUGACCAAAUCGAUUAUGUCAAUUACAAAAAUAAGUCUUGCAUUCUCAACAAACCCUAGCCUGCGCGGAAUAAAAGAACCGCAACGCAUCAUAUAACGGCAUAUAAUUUAUAUGCCAGGCUGAAACUAACGGUCUAUACUCACGGUUACAAAGCAUUUGAAGUCAUUGUUGGUUCUUUAAAAUAUAUGAUGGAUAAACAAACGUGCUGUUUUCGGUGCGCACAGCCACACACACUUGAAUUGCUAGUUAAUUCCUCUUUCACAUCCCCUUGUGUUUGAACAGACACAUAACAUAAAAUUAUGUCAAAAUACCCAUCUCGACAAUUAUUCUGGUAAACACAGUCUUAACUGAACGAAAACAGCUGAGAAAGAAACCGGAUGUGUACCAUUAUACUGGAUCUGUGCAUCGGGUCUUAAAGAGACAGCAGCCUAUAAAUACCUGCAGCUGAAAAUGUCACGAAU
Long non-coding RNA from Sinocyclocheilus rhinocerous, 716 nucleotides. RefSeq lists it as uncharacterized. Lineage: Eukaryota; Metazoa; Chordata; Actinopteri; Cypriniformes; Cyprinidae. The transcript is spliced from 3 exons. The record is from RefSeq and is a predicted model, not a curated record.